This 339-nucleotide long non-coding RNA is filed under the name Citrus sinensis (sweet orange). RNAcentral describes it as "long non-coding RNA (CSIN_LNC001318)". Lineage: Eukaryota; Viridiplantae; Streptophyta; Magnoliopsida; Sapindales; Rutaceae. The record is from RNAcentral.
AAUAACGACACUGCGGUUUUAUUGACGUGGAUUUAAGCUGAUAUGGAAUGGACUUCUUAGUUGAAAAAGUGACCAGCAUUUGCAUGGAACCAGGGCAGGAUUAUGACAAGCAAGUGUGGGAGCUGUGUUGUGUAUACCAUGUGUUCGGUGAAAUGCCCAAAGACAUUGAGAAUCCUCCACUAGAAGUCUAGUCACAUGUUCUAUCAAGCUCUAUAGCUUUUGCUUUCUACAAGAAAACAUUUGGAAAAAAAAAAAAUAUAUAUUUUUAUAUUUGAUUUUUGACCACUUGAUUCUAGUUAAUAAUUUAACUUCUUGUAUUGUCUGGAAAGCAUUCCCCAC